AAAGCUUGAUCCAGCAAUUUCGCAUGUAUGAAGAAGACCACUAAACGUUGUAAAGUACUAAGCUCGGGGAUAAUAAUGACGGUACCCGAGUAAAAAGCCCUGACUAACUUCGUGCCAGCAGUCGCGGUAAAACGGAGAGGGCAAGUGUUAUUCGUAUUGACUGGGUGUAAAGGGUACGUAGGCGGUUAUUUAAGUUAUAAAAAAAGCUAUAUCUUUUUAUAAUACUAUAUGACUAGAGUUAAAAAGGGGAUGGCGGUACCUCCAGUUUAGAAGUGACAUUCGUUUGAGAUUGGGGGGACCAACAAUAGGCGACGGCUGCUUUCCAUUUUUAUACUGACGCUGAGGUACGAAAGCAUGGGGAGCGAACAGGAUUAGAGACCCUGGUAGUCCAUGCCCUGACCUAUGAAUAUUAAUCGUCCAUUUAGAUAGUGGAUGACUAAGCUAACGCGAAAAUAUUCCACCUGAGGACUACGGCCGCAAGGUUAAAACUCAAAGAAAUUGGCGGAAGAUCGUUUAAGCGGUGGAGUAUGUGGUUUAAUUCGAUAAUACGCGAAAAACCUUCCAAUCUUUGUGCACAUUUUCGGUUCUACAAAACUUGUAGCCCAAAUUGAGGUGGUCAAUUUGGGCUAGCUAUGUGCCAGGCGUUGCAUGGCUGUCGUAAGCUCGUGUCUUAGGAUGUGUGGUUAACUCCAUGAACGGGCGCAACCCUUGUUCCUAGUUAGAUUAGGAAUGAAAACAGUGAAAACUGCUUUUGAGGAUGAGGAGUAUGUCAAGUCAAUAUGACCUUUAUAGAUUGGGCUACACACGUACUACAACGGUAGUUACAAUGAGAAACAAUGCCGUGAGGCGGAGUAAAUCUCUAAAACCUACCCUAGUUCGGAUUAUUUUUUGAAAUAAAAAUAUGAAGCCGGAAUCGCUAGUAAUCGCAAAAAAGAAUGUUGCGGUGAAUAUUAAGACCGAUCUUAGUACACACCGCCCGUCACGCCAUGGAAGCUUGUUUGGUUUGAAGAUAUUAAGUCACAUGUUUCGAAGUGAUUAUUCCUUAAUAAGUUCAUGUUAUAUGUGUUACUGGUAUCGACAAUUAUAUAGGUAACUGGGGUGAAGUC
This 1106-nucleotide ribosomal RNA is filed under the name Balamuthia mandrillaris. RNAcentral's name for it is "SSU rRNA". It matches the Rfam family "Bacterial small subunit ribosomal RNA", at positions 378 to 1487 of the family's 1533-position model. The record is from RNAcentral. Lineage: Eukaryota; Discosea; Longamoebia; Balamuthiidae.